UAAUACGGAGGAUCCGAGCGUUAUCCGGAUUUAUUGGGUUUAAAGGGUGCGUAGGCGGCCUAUUAAGUCAGGGGUGAAAGACGGUAGCUUAACUAUCGCAGUGCCUUUGAUACUGAUGGGCUUGAAUGUACUUGAGGUAGGCGGAAUGUGACAAGUAGCGGUGAAAUGCAUAGAUAUGUCACAGAACACCAAUUGCGAAGGCAGCUUACUAAAGUAUGAUU
This 221-nucleotide ribosomal RNA is filed under the name uncultured bacterium. Its description in RNAcentral is "partial 16S ribosomal RNA". It matches the Rfam family "Bacterial small subunit ribosomal RNA", at positions 521 to 741 of the family's 1533-position model. The record is from RNAcentral.